Molecule: ribosomal RNA, 253 nt
Filed under: uncultured bacterium
Lineage: Bacteria
Description: partial 16S ribosomal RNA
Rfam family: Bacterial small subunit ribosomal RNA
Source: RNAcentral
UACGUAGGGGGCAAGCGUUGUCCGGAUUUAUUGGGCGUAAAGAGCGUGUAGGCGGCCAGAUAGGUCAGCUGUGAAAACUCGAGGCUCAACCUCGAGACGUCGGUUGAAACCAUCUGGCUAGAGUCCGGAAGAGGAGAGUGGAAUUCCCGGUGUAGCGGUGAAAUGCGCAGAUAUCAGGAGGAACACCGGUGGCGAAGGCGCUGCUCUGGGCCGGUACUGACGCUGAGGAGCGAAAGCGUGGGUAGCAAACAGG